UACGUAGGGGGCGAGCGUUGUCCGAAUUUACUGGGCGUAAAGAGCGCGUAGGCGGGCUUCUAAGUGAGAGGUGAAAGGUUCGGGCUCAACCCGGAGAGUGCCUUUCAUACUGGGAGCCUUGAGUGCGGGAGAGGCAAGUGGAAUGGUCGGUGUAGCGGUGAAAUGCGUAGAUAUCAAGUGGAACACCAGUGGCGAAGGCGAGUCUCUGGACAUUUCCUGACGCUGAGGCACGAAAGCCAGGGGAGCAAACGGG
This 253-nucleotide ribosomal RNA is filed under the name uncultured bacterium. RNAcentral describes it as "partial 16S ribosomal RNA". It matches the Rfam family "Bacterial small subunit ribosomal RNA", at positions 524 to 776 of the family's 1533-position model. The record is from RNAcentral.